AAAAGUGAUCAAAAUGAAUAA
RNAcentral lists this small RNA (21 nucleotides) under Arabidopsis thaliana (thale cress). RNAcentral's name for it is "ATSL006520". Lineage: Eukaryota; Viridiplantae; Streptophyta; Magnoliopsida; Brassicales; Brassicaceae. The record is from RNAcentral.